Setaria italica (foxtail millet) is the source of this 2194-nucleotide long non-coding RNA. RefSeq lists it as uncharacterized. The record is from RefSeq and is a predicted model, not a curated record. The transcript is spliced from 7 exons. NCBI's taxonomy places the organism in Eukaryota, Viridiplantae, Streptophyta, Magnoliopsida, Poales, Poaceae.
CAGGCUCGCACAAUCGCUCGCCCACCACGCCGCCUUCAUUCACAGCUCCCCGAUCCCAUCGGCCCAAUCCGCGUCGGCCCCCGCUCGGAGGAGGCGCAGCUCUCCGAGGAACGCUGCAUCAACGAGCUCGACCUGCCUCUGCGUGCUGCACGAGAUCGCGGCUCCGGCGUGAUGACUCUCCAGUCCUGGGUCGAGAUCGAGGCGGUCGGCACCACCACGACGCGCUCGAACUGCGGGGGCGACCCCAAUCCCGUUCUCAAUCCCCUACCCAUCCCAAUCGGCGGCAGCAUGGAGUGAUGGAGAAGGUGGACGCGGCCGGCUUCAACAACCUCCAUGGGCGGUUCUCCGUUGCCGCCGCCACCCCGGUCUCGUGUGCUGGCCCAUGGGAACAGGGAGGAGGUUAGGAGGAGGUGGCACGGUGGCGGCAGACCGAUCCGGCAGUCAGGGGAGCUCGAGGGCGGCAACCCGCCAUGCCCGCUCGGCCACCGGGCUUGGUCGUGUCACCGGAUACAUCCGGUGGUUAUUUCUCACGGAGAGUCCCAGCUCCGGCAAAAUCCAGACUGAUCUGAGCGCAAUACAAGGUGGUGUAUUUGGGAUUACCACCAGUUUCCCCAAUUCGUUGCAGACUCAAGUCGAUUUUGAGUCACCACUGGGAUUCUACUGAUACGAACAAUGAUGAGAGCUGUGCUUCUGUCAGUUGUGCCAUUCCCCAUUCAGGCGAGCAGGAACAGGCUCCUGAGAUUGUAGGUGCCUUCAAUUGCGCAGUAUUAAAUGGAUGCAUCAGUCUGUACAAAGUGGGGACAUGGACACAUGGUGGCAUCUGGCUGCAGUUAUAUCAGAAUUAUUGGUUACAUGAUGAAGUCAGAUUCCAACUGAGUUUGGGAACUUGAGAGGUACAAUAGAUCGUAUGAUGAAAGAGGGGAGAGGUGCAGAGUUUCAUGUGCCAAGAUAAUGUUUCAUCGACCACCGAUGCAGAGGUUUGUUCCUGUCUUUAUUUGUGCCAGCAUUGCCCUGUUCGCAAUAUUGAUUAGAAAAGUUAGAUAUAGUGUAUAUCGCAGUUGUAAAAAAAAUCUGGUUGGAUAGACUUGGUUAUAUGGAUAUUCUUUGCCGAGGUGUCGUAUUCGAAAAUUUUGUGGUACAACUUGUAUAGCAAAAUCAGUAGAUGCAUCUUUCAAGUUCCUGGUAUAUCAUUCCUAUGGAAGGCACGGUGUGGAAAAUUCUUGUCUCUGUGAAUGUUUUGUACUCAUCGACUCAAAUGCUCCCUGUCAGCUUCCAGGUGAUUUUUCUUUGUUUUGGUUUUCCUCUAUCAGCUUCUAUUACUCAUAUGUACAUCUCUUGGUUUGUUAUGUGUAAUGGUUUUUCUCUUUAUUCUGUCACGCAUGCGUGAAGGCAUGUAGUGGAUGGAAAAGGGGAGAUAACUUCAAGAAGAGAAGGUAAUGUCAAAAUUAUUUGGGAUCUGAAACAUGACAGUAGCCAGAUUCUUCAUUACCUUAGAUCACUAUUAUUUCUGUUGCGUGAUUUCAUUUUUGUGAAUACAAGUGAUCUGUCUCCUCAGAUAAAGAAAUUCAUUCUCCAAAGCCAGGCUCUUUCCUCAUAUAUUUGUCUAUCAGGGAAUGGAACACCACGGUUGCGGGCACAUAUGUGCCAAAGGCACGAUGGAUGGUAGAGAUGUUGAGUGUCUCGUUAAUCCUAAAGAGAACUGCAGGUGGCUUCCAAUGGGAGCAAAGUCUACCUAGGUGAUUGGCUAAGUUCUCACAUUUUAGUUCAAGAUUAUAUCUCCAGUAAUUUUCCAUAGGUGCAGGUCGACAAAUAUUUGAUAACAAUUCAAUCAAGUGUUGCUCUGCAAUGACUGAUAACAAUUCAAUCAAGUGUUACUCUGCAAUGAAGGCUGAAGGUUCAAUCAAGUGUUACUCUGCAAUGAAUUCAAUCACGAGUCAAGUUUAAAUUCGUGUCCAAUUCCAAAUGUGCUGAAAACCUUAAAGCUCUGUUCAGAUGAUGAGCAGCGUGCUCUGUUUACAAUCAGCUCUGGUUAUUAUUUGAUUAAAUUUCGUGUGUGAAAUGCUAAAUGUUCUUGAAAAGCUCGAGUUUCUGAAGCUCACAUGCGUCUUUUGAAGUGAUUUUUUGUUUGUUUUAUACUAUAUGACACUUUAUUAAUUACUAUAAAAGAAUUGAUCAAUGAUAGAAAUUAGAGGAA